Molecule: ribosomal RNA, 915 nt
Filed under: Hyaloperonospora parasitica
Lineage: Eukaryota; Oomycota; Peronosporomycetes; Peronosporales; Peronosporaceae
Description: LSU rRNA
Rfam family: Eukaryotic large subunit ribosomal RNA
Source: RNAcentral
AACUCAAGCUUAAAAUCUCUGUCRCAAAUUUAUUUUGUGCGGCGAAUUGUAGUCUAUAGAGGCGUGAUCAGUGUAGGCGCUUGAGGUAAGUUCCUUGAAAAAGGACAGCAUGGAGGGUGAAACUCCCGUUCAUACUUAAGUGGCUUGCACGUACGAUUCGUUUUCUUUGAGUCGCGUUGUUUGAGAAUGCAGCGCAAAGUAGGUGGUAAAUUCCAUCUAAAGCUAAAUAUUGGUGCGAGACCGAUAGCGAACAAGUACCGUGAGGGAAAGAUGAAAAGAACUCUGAAAAGAGAGUUAAAGAGUACCUGAAACUGCUGAAAGGGAACCAAAUCGUUUCUAGUGUCUAUAAUCUAUGACAUAUUUCAUUGGGAAGUGUGUGCGUGUGUAUACUAUGGCAGCGGCUUUUUUUAGUUGCGCUUGGUGUGCGUGCUGUAUGUACUAACUGAUGCCCUGUGUUAUAGUGGGACGUCAAGGUCAGUUUGUAUACUGCGGGAAAUGGCUACUGAGGAGGUAGGGCUUACGCUUGCGUUUGUCUAUUAUAUCUUGGUAGUUGUGUCGUGGUUGAGACUGAGGUGUUCUACAACGUGCUUAUGAGUGGGUCUACGUCUCCGUGUGCGCCGUGUGCAGAUAGCUUGCUAUGUGUAUGUGGUGGUGUGUGGAUUGAUAUGGGCUUUAUCUUACUGCCGUUCGGGACUUUGACGAAAUAGAGCGAUUUGACCCGUCUUGAAACACGGACCAAGGAGUCUAACAUAUGUGCAAGUGUUAGGGUGUGGAAACCCCAGCGCGAAAUGAAAGUAAAGGAUAGUGUAAACUAUCUUAGGUAGGAAACGUUAUGAACUUCGGUUUGUGGCGUGGCACUAUCGACCGAUCAUGAACCCUCGUGGUGAAAGAUUUGAGUUUGAGCACAUAUGUUGG